ACGGGGUGCAGCAGGCGCGAAAACUCUCCAAUGUGCGAAAGCGUGAGAGGGGAAUUCCUAGUGCUACGGGUUUAUCCCGUGGCUUUUGCCAAGUGUAAAUAGCUUGGCGAAUAAGUGGUGGGCAAGACUGGUGCCAGCAGCCGCGGUAA
RNAcentral lists this ribosomal RNA (149 nucleotides) under uncultured archaeon. RNAcentral describes it as "partial 16S ribosomal RNA". It matches the Rfam family "Archaeal small subunit ribosomal RNA", at positions 325 to 473 of the family's 1478-position model. The record is from RNAcentral.